UCUUUUGUGAGGCUUGCCUUUGAUUCUCUGAGCUCUGGGAGGUGUGAUUCCCUCACCUCCUAGCUCUGAGAAUCAACAGCAAGCCUCACACACAUCGGCUGUUCUUUGAUCUCGUCUUGCAGGCGCGGGAUCCAGGACUUGUGAGGGUUGCCUUUGAUUUUCUGAGCUCUCGGAAGUGUGAUUCCCUCACCACCGAGCUCUGCACACAUCGAGAUCUUUGGCUGUUCUUUGAUCUCGUCUUGCAGGCGCGCGGGAUCCAGGAGCAGCGAUCUUUGUGAGGCUUGCCUUUGAUUCUCUGAGCUCUGGGAGGUGUGAUUCCCUCAGCUCCUAGCUUUGAGAGUCAAUUGCAAGCCUCGCACGCAUCGAGA
RNAcentral lists this microRNA precursor (368 nucleotides) under Selaginella moellendorffii. RNAcentral describes it as "miR1081 stem-loop (smo-MIR1081)". Lineage: Eukaryota; Viridiplantae; Streptophyta; Lycopodiopsida; Selaginellales; Selaginellaceae. The record is from miRBase by way of RNAcentral.